Molecule: transfer RNA, 62 nt
Filed under: Anomaloglossus leopardus
Lineage: Eukaryota; Metazoa; Chordata; Amphibia; Anura; Aromobatidae
Description: tRNA-Cys
Source: RNAcentral
GGCCUUGGAGUGUUACACGCGGGAUUGCAACUCCCGAGAAGCAGAGAGUUCUGCCGGGGCUU